RNAcentral lists this long non-coding RNA (617 nucleotides) under Olea europaea (common olive). RNAcentral describes it as "long non-coding RNA (OEUR_LNC013772)". The record is from RNAcentral. Lineage: Eukaryota; Viridiplantae; Streptophyta; Magnoliopsida; Lamiales; Oleaceae.
AUUUAGCAAAUAAGAAUCCAAGUGCAAACAGCAUGUAAAAUCAUCAAGAAAAACCUACAUAUUUUCUCUGUUUUUCUUGGGUCGGGUAAAAGACCCAUAUAUUAGAACCCACAAAAUUGCACAUAACUCUUGCGAACGAAAUCAUACAGCAGACAAACAUAUAGAUACAGAUAUAUGUAUAUAGAUGGUGAUUUUGAGCCAACCUGAUCCUGACAUUAAGAACAAGUACUGCUACAUGAAGCAACCUAAAACCACUGUGAAGUGUCACUCCAAGAACUAGAAGUGACGAAUUCCUUCAACCUAAAUUGCCGUUCAUGAACUGGGCCAUGCAAGUCCCAUGGCCUCCUCUUCAUAUGUGAAAUUUUAGAAUAAUUCACAAAUUUGGCAUGGUCUAAUAUGUAGUUAUUAAAAUGAUUUUAAUAUAUGUAGAGGUCAAAGGCUGAGUGCUGCGGUUUAGGGAAGGCAAAUUGGUAUAUGGGACCAGAAUUUGGUAGCAUUUUUCAAUAUUUACGUGGAUGGAAUUGUUUAUAAUGAUUUACUACAAAUUUAAAACAUUUUUAUGACUCUUAAGAAAAUAAAAAGUUUAGAAUAGGGUUGUUAAUGGGCGAAAAGAUUGU